UACGGGGGGGGCAAGCGUUGUUCGGAAUUACUGGGCGUAAAGGGCUCGUAGGUGGCCAACUAAGUCAGACGUGAAAUCCCUCGGCUUAACCGGGGAACUGCGUCUGAUACUGGAUGGCUUGAGUUUGGGAGAGGGACGCGGAAUUCCAGGUGUAGCGGUGAAAUGCGUAGAUAUCUGGAGGAACACCGGUGGCGAAGGCGGCAUUCUGGACCGAUAUUGACGCUGAGGAGCGAAAGCCAGGGGAGCAAACGGG
This 253-nucleotide ribosomal RNA is filed under the name uncultured bacterium. RNAcentral describes it as "partial 16S ribosomal RNA". It matches the Rfam family "Bacterial small subunit ribosomal RNA", at positions 524 to 776 of the family's 1533-position model. The record is from RNAcentral.